RNAcentral lists this long non-coding RNA (1175 nucleotides) under Salmo salar (Atlantic salmon). Its description in RNAcentral is "lncRNA (ENSSSAG00000090018.1)". Lineage: Eukaryota; Metazoa; Chordata; Actinopteri; Salmoniformes; Salmonidae. The record is from RNAcentral.
UGGCACGUUAUUUAAUUGUCAGCCAUUGUUACCAUUAAUGCUAAUUAAUGCUAGUUUGACUAUCUGAGGGCAUCUUUGAGAAGCAUUUGAUAGACUUCAAUAUUGGCUGUACUAGAGAAUUUAAAACCUUUUUGGAAAAUGAAAAACGAAACCUUCAGGGUUUCCAUUAGGAUGGAACGGAAAAUAUGGUGCUGUACAAUGUGACGGUCGGGAGUAGGCUACAGUACUAUGAGAAACCACGGGUUUGGAGCGAGUAGUCGUGCUGCACUUCGCUCCGCAGGUUCCCUUGGAGAGUUCAUCAAUGAGCUUGAUAAGUUCCUUUCCUGAGGAUGGCUCACCUCUCACAGUUCUGGACCAUUUCCGGAGACCUUCUCCCUUACCUCACCUCGCUCAUCAACUCAUCCUUGACCGCUUGCUACGUCCCUUCCGUCUUCAAGAGAGCGAGAGUUGCACCCCUUCUGAAAAAACCUACACUCGAUCCCUCCGAUGUCAACAACUACAGACCAACUCAUCCUGCUGCUGAUGACGACGAUGACCUUGACACCAGCGUCAGUAGUACAGAGCCUGUAGACCCAUUGGAUGAAUGCUUUCAGACUGGAAUAAGCUCAAGCUCAACAUCAUCUGACUUUGAAACAAGCCAGGACAGCCAAAGGAGACUUGCAGUACAAAUCAAAGCAUUGGGAAGUGAAGAAAGUGUACGAGAGGCUUGUCCACCUGGCUGUGGAGUGCAGAAAGGACCAGACGGUUGUCUACAAGGAGCCUGAGUCACAGCUCCCCAAACCCAACAUCCCUUCCAACAUCGCCACAGCACCAAAGCCUGCGAAAACAGCUUCCAUUACGCAGCACAAGAAGAGGUUCACCAGUUGAAGAACAUUCUGGAACCUGCUUGGAACAUUCAACCAACACAACACCUUAUUCAGUUAAACUCUUGUUGUAGUAUAAUAUUGUAUGUUCAUUACUGCAUUGUGCUAUAUAUAUAUAGCUGUUGUACAUAUGUAUAUAAUGGUGUCGUAUGUGAUAUUUUGUACAAGUGUACUGACAAGUGACUAAAUGGAAUUCCAGCUGUAUCAGAAACCAAUAAAGUGUUGGAUCAAUUCAUUGUGAUCCCUUACGAAAAAAGAUUGCAGUCAGAAUGCAGUAUAACUGUGGUACACUGCAGUAUAACUGUAGUUAGA